RNAcentral lists this ribosomal RNA (253 nucleotides) under uncultured bacterium. Its description in RNAcentral is "partial 16S ribosomal RNA". It matches the Rfam family "Bacterial small subunit ribosomal RNA", at positions 524 to 776 of the family's 1533-position model. The record is from RNAcentral.
UACGUAGGGAGCAAGCGUUGUCCGGAAUUACUGGGUGUAAAGGGAGCGCAGGCGGGAAGCCAAGUCAGCUGUGAAAACUACGGGCUUAACUUGUAGACCGCAGUUGAAACUGGUUUUCUUGAGUGAAGUAGAGGUUGGCGGAAUUCCGAGUGUAGCGGUGAAAUGCGUAGAUAUUCGGAGGAACACCGGUGGCGAAGGCGGCCAACUGGGCUUUAACUGACGCUGAGGCUCGAAAGUGUGGGGAGCAAACAGG